Molecule: ribosomal RNA, 978 nt
Filed under: Calidris pugnax (ruff)
Lineage: Eukaryota; Metazoa; Chordata; Aves; Charadriiformes; Scolopacidae
Description: 12S ribosomal RNA
Rfam family: Bacterial small subunit ribosomal RNA
Source: RNAcentral
AAAAGACUUAGUCCUAACCUUACCGUUAAUUUUUGCUAAAUAUAUACAUGCAAGUAUCUGCGCCCCAGUGUAAAUGCCCUUGAUCUCUUACUAAGAAGAAAGGAGCGGGUAUCAGGCACACCUAAACUGUAGCCCAAGACGCCUUGCUCAGCCACACCCUCACGGGUAUUCAGCAGUAAUUAACAUUAAGCAAUAAGUGAAAACUUGACUUAGUUAUAGCAACACCAGGGUUGGUAAAUCUUGUGCCAGCCACCGCGGUCACACAAGAGACCCAAAUUAACUGUAUACGGCGUAAAGAGUGGUAUCAUGUUAUCUCAACAACUAAGACCAAAGUGCAACUAAGCUGUCAUAAGCUCAAGAUGUACCUAAGACCUCCCUUAAAACGAUCUUAGCGCUUUUGAUCAAUUUAAUUCCACGAAAGCUAAGACACAAACUGGGAUUAGAUACCCCACUAUGCUUAGCCCUAAAUCUUGAUGCUCUUUCCCCCAUACCUAGAGCGUCCGCCUGAGAACUACGAGCACAAACGCUUAAAACUCUAAGGACUUGGCGGUGCCCUAAACCCACCUAGAGGAGCCUGUUCUGUAAUCGAUAACCCACGUUACACCCGACCGCCUCUUGCCAAAACAGCCUACAUACCGCCGUCGCCAGCUCACCUCCCCUGAGAGCCCAACAGUGAGCACAACAGCCUAAACCCGCUAAUAAGACAGGUCGAGGUAUAGCCUACGAGGCGGAAGAAAUGGGCUACAUUUUCUAAAAUAGAAAACUUACGGAAGGGGGUAUGAAAUUGGCCCCCCGAAGGCGGAUUUAGUAGUAAAGUGGGACAAUAUAAGCCUUCUUUAAAUCGGCCCUGGGGCACGUACAUACCGCCCGUCACCCUCCUCAUAAGCUACCCACCCUACAAUACCUAAUACAACUCCAAGCUGAAGAUGAGGUAAGUCGUAACAAGGUAAGUGUACCGGAAGGUGCACUUAGCAUACC